UACGGAGGGGGCUAGCGUUGUUCGGAAUUACUGGGCGUAAAGCGUACGUAGGCGGCUUUGUAAGUUAGAGGUGAAAGCCCGGGGCUCAACUCCGGAAUUGCCUUUAAGACUGCAUCGCUUGAAUCAUGGAGAGGUUAGUGGAAUUCCGAGUGUAGAGGUGAAAUUCGUAGAUAUUCGGAAGAACACCAGUGGCGAAGGCGACUAACUGGACAUGUAUUGACGCUGAGGUACGAAAGCGUGGGGAGCAAACAGGAUUAGAUACCCGAGGUAGUCC
This 274-nucleotide ribosomal RNA is filed under the name uncultured prokaryote. RNAcentral's name for it is "partial 16S ribosomal RNA". It matches the Rfam family "Bacterial small subunit ribosomal RNA", at positions 524 to 796 of the family's 1533-position model. The record is from RNAcentral.